Molecule: ribosomal RNA, 519 nt
Filed under: uncultured bacterium
Lineage: Bacteria
Description: bacterial SSU rRNA
Rfam family: Bacterial small subunit ribosomal RNA
Source: RNAcentral
AAUAGAUACCCUGGUAGUCCAUGCCGUAAACGUUGGGCGCUAGAUGUGGGGACCAUUCCACGGUUUCCGUGUCGCAGCUAACGCAUUAAGCGCCCCGCCUGGGGAGUACGGCCGCAAGGCUAAAACUCAAAGGAAUUGACGGGGGCCCGCACAAGCGGCGGAGCAUGCGGAUUAAUUCGAUGCAACGCGAAGAACCUUACCAAGGCUUGACAUAUACGAGAACGCUCUAGAAAUAGGGAACUCUUUGGACACUCGUAUACAGGUGGUGCAUGGUUGUCGUCAGCUCGUGUCGUGAGAUGUUGGGUUAAGUCCCGCAACGAGCGCAACCCUCGUUCUAUGUUGCCAGCGGUUCGGCCGGGAACUCAUAGGAGACUGCCGGGGUCAACUCGGAGGAAGGUGGGGAUGACGUCAAAUCAUCAUGCUCCUUAUGUCUUGGGCUUCACGCAUGCUACAAUGGCCGGUACAAGGCUGCAAUACCGUAGUGAGCGAAUCCAAAAGCCGUCUCAGUUCGAUUGAGGU